UACAGAACUUGCAGAUGUCAAGUAGCUUCUUCAGGGAUGGAAGAGGAGCUAGCUGGGCAAUAAUAACAGAACAGUCAAAUCUAUUCCAUGUGAUGGAUAAUGUGCAACAUACAAGGAUGAUCUUGCUGGGAUUUACCACCUGCACUAAAGCUACACCUGGCCUUUUUGCACGGGAAUGUUAGAAGUGUGCCCAAUUUCUGCCAGUUCAGAAGUAACAGCACUAGACACUGAGUCUCCACCCGUACAUUGCCUACUCUACUGCUUUGUACUGCUGCACAGUUCUGUGUUCUUGCAUGUGCUGUUUAGUUUCUAAUAUAGCAUUCUAGUUAACUUUUCUCAUUACUCAAUUUUUAAUGUUAGAAUUUCCAAGCAGGCUAGAAGCUUUGCUCCUUUCCAUUUAUGAAUUCUUCAUUCCUGUAGGAGGGCUGGACAUCCACAAAGCACCAUACAAUCUUUCACUGCCCCGCAACGUAGGGGCCUCUCUUCCUGGCUAAACUCCUGACCUCAGGCUGAUCUUUAUGCCAAGUCUGCACUCAUCCCUUCAGACCCAAACAUGCCCACAGCACCUUCUGGGAAUCACCCUCUCUUCUCAACACCCUGACUCUGCCCCAAGAAAAAUUUGAUGCUUUCAUAGGGAAUCUUGUCCUCUCUCCAUUUGAAGGUUCCAAGGACAGUUUCUGCAUUCUCCCAGGCUCCAUAUGUUCAUUCAUACAUCUUCAUUCCUAGCAUCUCCUCCCAAGGCUUGAGCUGUCCUUCUUCCCAAUCUGGUCACACACCUCUGACUUUUGGAAGGCUCAAAGCUUCCUCCAACACCUGAAUUCCCUUUUAACCUUGCUGUGUCUGCCUCCCAGGAUUACCCAACAGACUAAUGUUUCUCCCAGCAGCCUGCAGAGACCAAGGGGCUUCAUAAGCAACCAACUGUAUAUUAAGACCCCCUUCCCUCCAACAAUGAUACUACCUACUGGAGAUUCCCAGAUUCCACAAGAGGCUUUAGAAAGAGAUUGCUUUUGACACAGACCCAUGAGAAAAGUGGAAGCUUCACAAAGCACACUUAACCAUGAGCAAAAGGCUUCUGAAGCAUUUGUGCAUAAUUUCCUCUCUUAAAAAAAAAAAAAGACUAAUUCUCUAGGAAAAGCUGCAUGGGGACCACUUAUUACCAUUUGCAUGGACAUUGCAUUUCCCCCUUGCUGUCU
RNAcentral lists this long non-coding RNA (1193 nucleotides) under Cavia porcellus (domestic guinea pig). RNAcentral's name for it is "lncRNA (ENSCPOG00000035696.1)". The record is from RNAcentral. Lineage: Eukaryota; Metazoa; Chordata; Mammalia; Rodentia; Caviidae.